This is a long non-coding RNA of Sitodiplosis mosellana (orange wheat blossom midge), 803 nucleotides long. RefSeq lists it as uncharacterized. The record is from RefSeq and is a predicted model, not a curated record. The transcript has 2 exons. NCBI's taxonomy places the organism in Eukaryota, Metazoa, Arthropoda, Insecta, Diptera, Cecidomyiidae.
UAUGUUUAACAUAGCAGCAGUGAGAAAAAAGAGAUGUGUUGCGUACAUGCGCUAGCCGCUAUUCCACGAUGAAAUGUAUCGUCACGAUAGAGCCAAAUCGUACUCUUUCACUUGAGUGUUAAAACAUUUUGCGCUGUUGAUUCCCUGUUGAUUUCACUUAUUGUACAGCACCGUGCACAAUAUUUAAUCUGAAUCGUGAUAUCAGGACCCUUACUUAUAUUUGUUAUUUGUUCAGCGUUUUCUUCAGUCCGACUUUGGCUGUUAUUAGUUAAACAUCAAAUAGCCAUUCAUUUUUGAAACGAAAAUGUCUUCGAUCCACAGUGCAAUAAGUUCUGAAACCGCUUCCGAUUACUCCGAAGAUUCGUUGGAAUUUUUAACACCUUAUCAGGGGAAUAAGCGUUGCUUUGGACAGUUUCGCUGUGACGAGUGCAAGCGCACUUGGUGCUCAGGCAAUUCAUGGGCAAAUACUGCACAAAUGUGUCAAUGCUGCGACAUCCGCGUUUACCCAUUCAAACAGCGACCAUUGAAGAAACCUGGCGGAUUGAACAAGUCGGAUCCCAAAAAAGCACACCCGAAACAUCUGUGCGAUAAAUGCAAACAUCUGGGCCACUAUUGUGGCAAAUUAAAAUAUUUCAAGUCCAAAAAUCAAUCGACAUAAAAAAAAAGAAACUGUUCAUCAGUGUAAUCGUUGAACUGAUUCGAAAAAAAAAAACAAAUACUUUAAGGAAAAUAUGGGCAAUUAUACAUACGGUUAAUAAAAGGAAUCUCCAAAUGACCCGUGUUGUAUCAACACAGAAUGUUAA